RNAcentral lists this ribosomal RNA (434 nucleotides) under uncultured Lachnospiraceae bacterium. Its description in RNAcentral is "partial 16S ribosomal RNA". It matches the Rfam family "Bacterial small subunit ribosomal RNA", at positions 341 to 792 of the family's 1533-position model. The record is from RNAcentral. Lineage: Bacteria; Bacillati; Bacillota; Clostridia; Lachnospirales; Lachnospiraceae.
ACGGAAGGCAGCAGUGGGGAGUAUUGCACAAUGGGCGAAAGCCUGAUGCAGCAACGCCGCGUGAGUGAAGAAGUAUUUCGGUAUGUAAAGCUCUAUCGAUGGGGAAUAAAAUGAAGGUACCCAAGUAAGAAGCCCCGGCUAACUACGUGCCAGCAGCCGCGGUAAUACGUAGGGGGCAAGCGUUAUCCGGAUUUACUGGGUGUAAAGGGAGCGUAGACGGAAUGUCAAGUUUGAAGUGAAAUACCUGGGCUUAACCCAGGAAUUGCUUUGAAAACUGAUAAUCUAGAGUACUGGAGGGGUAUGGGGAAUUCCUAGUGUAGUAGUGAAAUGCGUAGAUAUUAGGAAGAACACCGGAGGCGAAGGCGGCUUUCUGGACUGUAACUGACGUUGAGGCUCGAAAGUGUGGGUAGCAAACAGGAUUAGAUACCCUGGUA